This 489-nucleotide long non-coding RNA is filed under the name Vigna radiata. RNAcentral's name for it is "long non-coding RNA (VRAD_LNC011308)". The record is from RNAcentral. Lineage: Eukaryota; Viridiplantae; Streptophyta; Magnoliopsida; Fabales; Fabaceae.
CACGAUUCCCGAACCCCGAGGCGCAGGAACCAUCCUGACGGUAACGGACCCGCACUUUCCCGUAACCUUGCACGGAACGGUGUGGGGCUUUCCGAUCUUGUUGCCCCAGUACCCUCUCCUAACGGGGAUAACGGAAAGCUUCGCCAAAAUGAUGGCGCCGCGAAUGGCGGUGGCCACCUCCUUGCUACACUUAACGCCGAGACCGACGUGACCAUUACCGUCGCCGACAACAACGAAGGCCUUGAACCGGGUUCGUUGACCGGCCCGGGUCUGCUUCUGGACCGGCGUGAUUUUCAUGACCUCGUCCUUGAGGGUGGGACCCACGAGGGUGUCAAUGAUUUGGUGUUCCUUGAUGGGAAGGGAGUGGAGGUAGAUCUGUUCCAAGCUUCGGAUUCUGCCCUCCUUCACCAGACGCCCGAGCUUCGUAACAGGGACCCACUUCUCCUCCUCCUCACGGCGAGGCCCUCGGCGGCGUCCACGACCCCUGUC